CCGGGGGACACCCAGAGGAGCCCUGUCCCUCUGCUGCCGUUCCCGGCCCCAGCCCCGACGGCACGGCCCGUUCCUGCCCUGCCCGCCUCGCCCAGGGCUGCGAGGUGGUGCUGCCCCUGGGCAGCGUUUUCCGACAUCAGCCCGAGCCAAAACCCCGGCCAUGCAAGUCACCCCUGUCCUGGGAAGAGCCUGCGAUAUCCUGGCUGCCUGGGGGUAGCAGGGAGCUCCAGAAAAUACCAAGUGCGUGCUUGGACUGCAUCAAAGCAAUGAGAGACCGAGAGGAAACACGCUGCUGCUGUGCAAAAUGUGGACCAUGUGUGGGAACUAUUUACUCAGAGUGCAACUGCAGGCACCAGGAGAGCUGCUGGCAGAACUGGGGGGCGGUGGAGACCGAGCAACAUCUCUCUCGCGUUUUCCCCCCACCUUGGCUUCCCUAAAGCCAUGUGUGUGUAACGGUGCGUUUUACUGACUUCUCGCUGAGCUUGUGUUGGGUUUUUUGGGGGGUUUGAGGUUUUUCUUCAUUCUAAGGCCUUCACGGUCUGCUUUUGUGUCUCAUCCACCUCAAGCCUCAAGCAAUGGGUUAAAUCUUUAGAGCCUUGCAAGGAAUCAGAGUUAAAAAAAAAAAAAAAGGAAAAAAAAGAAAGAAAAAAGCAUGGGAAAAGGAGUGAGAGCAUGAAGAAGCGGGCAGAGAGGGCUUCACGGUCCCCUGAUCGUCCUUUUGACGGCUACAGAAUAAUAAAAAUAAUUUAUAAUAAUCCCUAGCCUUUAUUUUCUAUUUGGAUGUACCAGGAAGUGCCUCUGGCCUUGAAACUCCCUAUUACCUCUCUUCCCCCAACCCCCGUCCUUUUCUUGGGAAGUGAGAAGAAAAAGGUCUGCAGCUGACAAAUAUUAUCCAUCCUUUUCAUCGAUCGGAGCAUAUACAGAUGUGAUAGCUUGAUGUACGCUGCAAACCGGCUGAUCCAUCGCUUUCUCCCUCUCUGGCUGGCUCUGGUUCGGCCCCCUCCUCCUCC
This 1010-nucleotide long non-coding RNA is filed under the name Ficedula albicollis (Collared flycatcher). Its description in RNAcentral is "lncRNA (ENSFALG00000023746.1)". The record is from RNAcentral. Lineage: Eukaryota; Metazoa; Chordata; Aves; Passeriformes; Muscicapidae.